UAUAUUACAAGAAGCAGUACACCAAUGGUAAAUUGAUACAUCGUUUUUUAACUUAAGAUAGUCAAAUGAAAGAAACACAAAGGAGGGUUAAUGUAACACUUUCAAGCAUUAGUGAUACAGUAAAGUGAAUGACCUCAGCAUGUAAACUUAACUUCAAAGCACGGAGCACACGUUUCACAGAAAAGUAGCUCUUAUUCCUGAUGCUGCAAACACACAGGAGUGACCUCAAUCUUCUUCAUAUUUAUUUUGAACAAUAAAUUUGUCAUCAAGUUUUAGCCUUCUUCUUCAACCAAUUACAGCACGAUCUUGAGCUCUGUGUUUCUUUUUUUAAAUCAUUCAAAAGAUCUCUGUCAUUAAUUUUUCAAUGAUAAAAAUUAUAUUUUUGUCUCACAAAAUAUAAAAUAUAAAAAAAUAAAACAUAUAUUAUAGGUCCGUUUGAGAUUAUUUUUAAAGGCCCAAAAGUCAUUUUGAAAAGUUAAAUGUUAAUUUUGGUAUAAGGUAAAAUUUUUAGAAAUCACCUUUGGUAAAAAUCACUUAUCCUACAAGAAAUUAUGGAAAGCAAAAAAAGAAUAGUUUGUCAAAAUCUAAUUUUGAUAACUAGUUUUAUACUUAAUACAAUUCUAUCUACAACCUUAUAUAUAUUAUAAAAAUAUAAAAUUAUCCUUAUUAUUUAGGAAAUAAAAUUAUUAAUUUUAAAGAUAUUUUAACAAUUACAUUGAGAUAACAAAAUAAAAAUAAAAUUAAUAAUAUAAAAUAUUUAUUUCUGUGAUCAAUUAUUAUAUGUACAAGAUUAAAAAAAAUUAUAUAUACAUGUUAAUAAAUGUAUAAAUAAAUUUUAUCUAACAUUAUGUUCAAUUCGGUCAUUUAUAUUAAUAGCACUUUAGAAGUAAAUUUUCCUAAAUAUUUAACUGAUUAUCUUCACAGUGAUUAUUUCCACAACAUAACAACCAAAAAUUAUUAUAAAAGAUACAACAUUACCAAAAAAUAUUGAGGUACAUUUUAAUUAGGUAAUUGACGUAAUUAUGAAUCAAUUUAUUAUUUCCAUAUGUGUUAUCUAAACCAGCUCAUUAAUGCGAUCACUCUUUUUCUUAAAUAAAAUAUUCUUACCAAACAAUUGUUGCAAAAUUUCAAAUAUAAAUUACAAACAACAAAAUUUUCUAAAGUCAUAACAAUUAUUUAUGUUCUGAAUACAUGUAACUAAACCACAUUGAAAGUUGUCAAAACAGGAGGACAUAUUGUUAGUAAAAUUAUUUCUCAAGCAAAUGCAGUGACGGAUUUGGUUUCAUGUUUCACCCUCAAUAACUUAAUUUUCAUAUCUAACAAAUCAUUCAUAUUAUUAACAAUAUCAUCACCAACCAUAAUCUACCUAAACAUACAUAUAACUAUAUACAUACCGAAUCAGGAAAACAAUGAAGGCUACACGUAUCCGGCUCUACAAUUCCUUGUUGGUACCCUUGUGCUUCUAAAAUAAUCGACCAAUUAUAAAAAUUAGCUUAGGUGCAACUUUACGCCUUUUUUUGGAAAACUUAACUAUAAAUAAAGUAUACAAAUCUCUAAAUUAACUUCUUUCCCAUGAAAUUCAGCAUAAAUAGAAAUAGAAUUAUAGAAACCUUACUACCUUUUAUGAGAAAUCCAACUUAUAUAUUUGAGACCUCUCUCUCUAAGCACGCGCUUCCUCUCUCUGCACACUUUCCACCUUUAAAUUCUCCUUCAUUAAGUUUACCUAAAAGAAUUUAGCGUUCUCCCAGUUUCUUUAGCAUUUUUCUCCGUGAAAAUUGGUGAAAAAGAGAAAGUGAUUUGAUUAUUUUAAUGUAUGACAGAUCUGGUUUCCAUCUCUGUAAUUUAAGUUUGUCAAAACGAGA
Molecule: long non-coding RNA, 1862 nt
Filed under: Citrus maxima (pomelo)
Lineage: Eukaryota; Viridiplantae; Streptophyta; Magnoliopsida; Sapindales; Rutaceae
Description: long non-coding RNA (CMAX_LNC000337)
Source: RNAcentral